CUUUCUUGUUGAGGGCAUUGGCACGUUCUAAGUACGUUUGAGCUUCAUUCUUGAGGAGGACAGCCUUUUCGGGCGAGGUAGCAGCGGCCUCCUUCAGUUUAUCGGUAGCCCACUUAACAUAUCCUACGUCUCCGGAUUGAUAGUUGCAAAAAUGAAUGCACUUUGGGCUGCAAAACCUCUAGUUCUCCCUUGCAGCGCUUGAUACAUUUGUCCCAACAGAACUCUUCGGCAAUUGCCAAUGGUGGAGAUACCGCCGCUACCAUCACGACCAGGAGGAGAACGACACCAAUUGCGUUCCUAGUAUUCACCGCCAUUCUAGACCUUGAGAUAACUUCCGCAGGGUAUGACGGGUUUAGAAGGAGGUUGUUGAUGAGGA
RNAcentral lists this long non-coding RNA (376 nucleotides) under Hordeum vulgare. Its description in RNAcentral is "long non-coding RNA (HVUL_LNC021482)". The record is from RNAcentral. Lineage: Eukaryota; Viridiplantae; Streptophyta; Magnoliopsida; Poales; Poaceae.